RNAcentral lists this non-coding RNA (24 nucleotides) under Gossypium hirsutum (cotton). The record is from RNAcentral. Lineage: Eukaryota; Viridiplantae; Streptophyta; Magnoliopsida; Malvales; Malvaceae.
AAAUAGUCUGAGGAAUGUUAGUAA